GUAGACUACAAGGUUGAUAGGUCAGGAGUGGAAGUGCAGUAAUGUAUGGAGCGGACUGAUACUAAUAGGCCGAGGGCUUGACCUUA
This 86-nucleotide ribosomal RNA is filed under the name Agathobaculum butyriciproducens. RNAcentral describes it as "partial 23S ribosomal RNA". It matches the Rfam family "Bacterial large subunit ribosomal RNA", at positions 2840 to 2925 of the family's 2925-position model. The record is from RNAcentral. Lineage: Bacteria; Bacillati; Bacillota; Clostridia; Eubacteriales; Butyricicoccaceae.